CAGUAACGCGUAGUCAAUCUACCCUAUGGACGGGAAUAACCUCGGGAAACUGAGAAUAAUGCCCGAUAGAACAUUAUGCCUGGAAUGGUUUAUGUUUCAAAUGAUUUAUCGCCAUAGGAUGGGACUGCGGCCUAUCAGUUUGUUGGUGAGGUAAUGGCCCACCAAGACUAUUACAGGUACGGGCUCUGAGAGGAGUAGCCCGGAGAUGGGUACUGAGACACGGACCCAGGCCCUAUGGGGCGCAGCAGGCGAGAAAACUUUGCAAUGUGCGAAAGCACGACAAGGUUAAUCCGAGUGGUUUCUGCUAAAGAAACCUUUUGUCAGUCCUAGAAACACUAACGAAUAAGGGGUGGGCAAGUUCUGGUGUCAGCCGCCGCGGUAAAACCAGCACCUCAAGUGGUCAGGAUGAUUAUUGGGCCUAAAGCAUCCGUAGCUCGUUUUGUAAGUUUUCGGUUAAAUCCAUGCGCUUAACGUAUGGGCUGCCGGGAAUACUGCAUAACUAGGAAGUGGGAGAGGUAGACGGUACUCGGGAGGAAGGGGUAAAAUCCUUUGAUCUCUUGAUGACCACCUGUGGCGAAGGCGGUCUACCAGAACACGUUCGACGGUGAGGGAUGAAAGCUGGGGGAGCAAACCGGAUUAGAUACCCGGGUAGUCCCAGCUGUAAACUAUGCAAACUCAGUGAUGCAUUGGCUUAUGGCCAAUGCAGUGCUGCAGGGAAGCCGUUAAGUUUGCCGCCUGGGAAGUACGUACGCAAGUAUGAAACUUAAAGGAAUUGGCGGGGGAGCACCACAAGGGGUGAAGCCUGCGGUUCAAUUGGAGUCAACGCCGGAAA
Molecule: ribosomal RNA, 832 nt
Filed under: uncultured archaeon
Lineage: Archaea
Description: bacterial SSU rRNA
Rfam family: Archaeal small subunit ribosomal RNA
Source: RNAcentral